AACGCUAGCUACAGGCUUAACACAUGCAAGUCGAGGGGCAGCAUGAUUGAAGCUUGCUUCAAUUGAUGGCGACCGGCGCACGGGUGAGUAACACGUAUCCAACCUUCCGUACACUCAGGGAUAGCCUUUCGAAAGAAAGAUUAAUACCUGAUGGUAUCUUAAGCACACAUGUAAUUAAGAUUAAAGAUUUAUCGGUGUACGAUGGGGAUGCGUUCCAUUAGGUAGUAGGCGAGGUAACGGCCCACCUAGCCUACGAUGGAUAGGGGUUCUGAGAGGAAGGUCCCCCACAUUGGAACUGAGACACGGUCCAAACUCCUACGGGAGGCAGCAGUGAGGAAUAUUGGUCAAUGGACGAGAGUCUGAACCAGCCAAGUAGCGUGAAGGAUGAAGGUCCUACGGAUUGUAAACUUCUUUUAUAAGGGAAUAAAACCUCCCACGUGUGGGAGCUUGUAUGUACCUUAUGAAUAAGCAUCGGCUAACUCCGUGCCAGCAGCCGCGGUAAUACGGAGGAUGCGAGCGUUAUCCGGAUUUAUUGGGUUUAAAGGGAGCGUAGGCGGGUCGUUAAGUCAGCUGUGAAAGUUUGAGGCUCAACCUUAAAAUUGCAGUUGAUACUGGCGUCCUUGAGUACGGUUGAGGCAGGCGGAAUUCGUGGUGUAGCGGUGAAAUGCUUAGAUAUCACGAAGAACUCCGAUUG
This 694-nucleotide ribosomal RNA is filed under the name uncultured bacterium. RNAcentral describes it as "bacterial SSU rRNA". It matches the Rfam family "Bacterial small subunit ribosomal RNA", at positions 32 to 715 of the family's 1533-position model. The record is from RNAcentral.